RNAcentral lists this long non-coding RNA (1543 nucleotides) under Struthio camelus australis. RNAcentral's name for it is "lncRNA (ENSSCUG00000007188.1)". The record is from RNAcentral. Lineage: Eukaryota; Metazoa; Chordata; Aves; Struthioniformes; Struthionidae.
GGCAGCAUGUAGCCAAGCCCCUUCUGCCUGGCAGCAGUAGGUGCUCCAAACGCCUCGGCCAGGGAGCAGUGUGCCUGCAUAGUCGUGGCAAAGCCUAGGCCCAAAGGUUGGUAUGAAGAAAACCUUCCCCCCUUGCAGAUUGCCAGGCAGCUGCUGGUGUCCUGCAAUUUUGCCCAAGUCUGAAAAUCGGCCCCUUGCCCAAGGAGACAGAGGCUGCCAGGGUUUCUUUGAGCAAUGCCAACAACUGCCUCACGCUGGUGGAUCUGGCCCAUCCGCAGGAGACACUGUGCAGCCGACGCGCAGGAUGGGGCUGCUCGGCCGCGGACAGAGGAGGAGGAGGAGCAGCGCCGGAUCUCUCUUGGUAGUGCCUGUCCUGCUGCCACUGCUGGUUUGGUUUAAACUCCGAAGCCGAUUUCCCACAAAGGUAAUUUUCUGCUUCUCUGACUCAAUUCUAUUCAUCUUUUAGAGGGUAAUUAGUAUCACUUCAGUGUUCUUUUAUGCCCAACUAAUUGCACCUUGCUUCAGGAGUGAAAGUUAAUGCCUCUCCUUUGAGGUUAGCGCAGCAAUAUCUAAUUAGGGACCAGGCCAGGCAGAAAUGUGUACCAGGAGCACCACUGUCUUCGGACUUUGUUUGCACCCGUGGAAACGUUUCCCAUUUUAUGUUUGAGCUGCUUCUGGAUGCUUCAGCUGUGUGGUAAUGAAUCUGCUGCACUAAUGCCGUCUGUACAGUGCCGCAUGCAGCAGCCUCUGCGUCUCUGAGAGCAGCUAGAAGAGAGGGGAUUACACUUCAGCUUUCAUGGAGGCUAAAAGGUCUUGGCAAGCUGGGUCUGCCUGCGCUCAAGUGCCUCGAGGCAGCAGCAGGAGAUGGGUUUCAAGGACACACUGUAGCUGCACAGUUUUCAGAGCAAACAAAAAUAGUGUACUAAGCGUACCACCUGCAUUUCCACCUGUGCAGGAUGCUCACCAGGGUUGUUGGCCUCCUGCGCCGCAGGAGGGGCUGGAUCCCGACUUUGGGACCUGUUUUGUUCCCGCGGGAGAAGCGCAAGCGACUGAAUGCCGGCUGCCAGGCGAUGCCAGGUCCUCUGGCAGGACGCGCCACUGCUGUGCAGGGACACGCGCUCAUCAGCUGUGCCACAAAGGGAGCCGCUGCCCGUCCCCUGCGAAGGAGAUGGAGGGACCUGCACAUGCGACUGUGCGGUCGGAAACGGCAGCGACCAGUCAGGCAGAGGCUGUUCAAAAUAGCUGCUGUCAGCACCUGAAAAUUAAUUUGUGCUGGCGCUUUUGCGAAGUGGAGGUGGAGGUGGAAAGGCACCGUCUGGCCGUCCUGCCUUGCACUGCCGACGGAGCCGGAGCGUUUCUGCCGCCCGCGGCCCUUCCCGGGGCUCCAGCGGCUGGUGCCCCUCCGUGGUCCCUGUCCUGGCAGGACAUCACCGGGAAUCAGCUCUGGCUCCGGCAGAGGAGCCCUGCUGAGAGCGCGUCCUGUGCCGCUGCGUGGGCCGUGCCAGGCGCCUGGCAGCCCGCUGCUCGCUCCCCUUUCCUCUGA